RNAcentral lists this ribosomal RNA (482 nucleotides) under uncultured bacterium. RNAcentral describes it as "partial 16S ribosomal RNA". It matches the Rfam family "Bacterial small subunit ribosomal RNA", at positions 28 to 523 of the family's 1533-position model. The record is from RNAcentral.
GACGAACGCUGGAGGCGUGCUUAACACAUGCAAGUCGAACGAUGAAAUGGAGCUGGCUCCAUGGAUUAGUGGCGAACGGGUGAGUAACACGUGAAUAACCUGCCCUUAAUUUUGGAAUAACCCAGGGAAACCUGGGCUAAUACCGGUUAAGUAAACCUGUGGCAUCAAAUGGUUUUGGAAAGUUUUUCGAUUAAGGAUGGAUUCGCGGCCUAUCAGCUUGUUGGUGAGGUAAUGGCUCACCAAGGCGACGACGGGUAGCCGGCCUGAGAGGGUGAACGGCCACACUGGGACUGAGACACGGCCCAGACUCCUACGGGAGGCAGCAGUGGGGAAUAUUGCGCAAUGGACGAAAGUCUGACGCAGCGACGCCUCGUGAGGGACGAAGGUCUUCGGAUUGUAAACCUCUUUCAGCAGGGACGAAGCGAAAGUGACGGUACCUGCAGAAGAAGCACCGGCUAACUAUGUGCCAGCCGCCGCAGUAA